CUACGGGGGGCUGCAGUGGGGAAUAUUGCACAAUGGGCGAAAGCCUGAUGCAGCAACGCCGCGUGCGGGAUGAAGGCCCUAGGGUUGUAAACCGCUUUCAGCAGGGAAGAAAAUGACGGUACCUGUAGAAGAAGGUGCGACCAACUACGUGCCAGCAGCCGCGGUGACACGUAGGCACCAAGCGUUGUCCGGAUUUAUUGGGCGUAAAGAGCUCGUAGGCGGUUCAGUAAGUCGGGUGUGAAAACUCUGGGCUCAACCCAGAGACGCCACCCGAUACUGCUGUGACUAGAGUGCGGUAGGGGAGCGGGGAAUUCCUAGUGUAGCGGUGAAAUGCGCAGAUAUUAGGAGGAACACCAGUGGCGAAGGCGCCGCUCUGGGCCGUAACUGACGCUGAGGAGCGAAAGCGUGGGUAGCAAACAGGAUUAGAUACCCCAGUAGUC
RNAcentral lists this ribosomal RNA (440 nucleotides) under uncultured bacterium. RNAcentral describes it as "partial 16S ribosomal RNA". It matches the Rfam family "Bacterial small subunit ribosomal RNA", at positions 339 to 795 of the family's 1533-position model. The record is from RNAcentral.